UGCGCAGGCGGUUAUAUAAGACAGAUGUGAAAUCCCCGGGCUCAACCUGGGAACUGCAUUUGUGACUGUAUAGCUAGAGUACGGCAGAGGGGGAGUGGAAUUCCGCGUGUAGCAGUGAAAUGCGUAGAUAUGUGGAAGAACACCGAUGGCGAAGGCAGCCUCCUGGGACAUAACUGACGCUCAGGCACGAAAGCUGGGAGCAAACAG
This 207-nucleotide ribosomal RNA is filed under the name uncultured bacterium. RNAcentral describes it as "partial 16S ribosomal RNA". It matches the Rfam family "Bacterial small subunit ribosomal RNA", at positions 568 to 775 of the family's 1533-position model. The record is from RNAcentral.